CCUCCACAGAUAAUAUCUGCUUCCAGCCACCAUCAUCAUCUGCCUGAAUGACUACAGGAGCUCCCUGCUUCUGCUGUUUCUCCCUUACAAUCCAUUCCCAACAGAUCAGCCAGCGUGACCCUUACACACAGAAGGCAGUUCAUGUUACGGCUCUGCUUAGAGCCCUUCAAUGAUCUGGAGUAUAAGAGCCAAAGUUCCUCCUCCCACAAACAUUCUAUUAUCUUGACAACCUCAAUUCCUAUCACUCUCCCCAUUCACUCUGCUCUGGUCACUCUGGUCUCUUGACCCAUCUUUAGGGCCUUUGCACACACUUGUGCACAAUGCGUCCUGUCUCAGGGCCUUUGCACAUGCUGUUGGGGGGUCAGACCGUGCACAUGCAUCCUGUCUCGGGGCCUUUGCACACACUGUGGGGGCCUGUACACAUGCAUCCUGUCUCAGGGCCUUUGCAUACGCUGUCUGGGGCCUGUGCACAUGCAUCCUGUCUCAGGGCCUUUGCACAUGC
Molecule: long non-coding RNA, 502 nt
Filed under: Homo sapiens (human)
Lineage: Eukaryota; Metazoa; Chordata; Mammalia; Primates; Hominidae
Description: HSALNT0160349
Source: RNAcentral